Molecule: RNA transcript, 6856 nt
Organism: Corvus hawaiiensis (hawaiian crow)
Lineage: Eukaryota; Metazoa; Chordata; Aves; Passeriformes; Corvidae
Exons: 9
Source: RefSeq, a predicted model, not a curated record
CGGGCGGGAGGCGGCAGGCAGCGGUCGGGCCGCUGUGUCCCGGCCGCGCCGGCGGCUCCUGGCGAGCAGCACCGAGGCCGCGCGGUGGAGCUGCUGCUCUUGGCUGAACACGUGCCGCUGAUUCACCUGUAAGGUCCUGGUUUGUUCACUGCUUCUCGCUGCUGGUACAGGAGGUGGAAUCCCGGUUGUGCAGUGCCGCAUUGGAACUUCUGGGUGGGAAAGAUGAAUUAAUGAGCUGAAUUCUUAGCAAUAUAAUAUUGAACAUUUAUUAGUAGAACAAAGGUAUAUCACAGCGCUGGAGCGCUUGGCAAUAUUGCCAGAGGCGCCCUCCAUUCAUUUUACUGUGGACUUAAGUACUCUCAAGCUGUUGCAUAUUCAUUAAGUCCAGAAAGUAAUUUAUACUUCACUCACCUUUCCCCCCCUCUCUGGUCUCUGCUCUCUUCCGUCAGCAUUGAAAACAGGCACUCUCUCUUUGGUGCCUCCCCAGUCUCCAACCUAAUUUGUAGCUGACAGUUUCCUUGGGAAGUGUGACUUUUGAUAACAGACUUCCUGGGAUGCAUGCCGUUUAUCUUUGUUUCUCUGAGAGGUCUUGGUUCCUGGCUCCGUAGUUUCUCAACUCAAAAGAUAUUUAUUACCAUGUGUUUAUUACUACAUUUCUUAACAUAUUACAACUAUUUCGAAGUUACAAUUUACCUUACUCUCAUUUCUACUUAAGUACAUUUUACCUUAGAACUAUUUCUACAUAGUACAUUACCACUUAAAAAUGUUAAAAUCCGAUAUGCAAAAGACAACAUUCAUCAUUCACUCCUUUAUCACAUGGGUUAAUGUUAAGUCUUGCCAGAUGUUUUUUACAAGGCUAAAUUCCAGUGAGUCUGUACCAAAAAAACAUUUGUCAAGAUAAGAUCCUACAGGAAUGACCUUGGUAGAAGGAAAAUAGCUGUGAGCAGAAGCACCAAGGAAUUGCUGCUGGCUCCCAGUGUCCUUUUUUUUUUCCCAGGAAGGUGUUGUAUUGAAUUGAAAGGUGGUUUUCUUGCCUCUAGGAAGUAGCACCCACAUCCUGCUGGAAGGAGAAAGUGGGGAGACAGACAGUGCCAAGUAGGAGGAAGGACCAUUUUUAAAUCUGCCUUUGGAUUCCACUUCCUCGCGGUGGCAUCUGUGCAGUCCAAAGGAAGUAAAUCCUGGAGUACCUGUUUGUUCACCUGUUGAGCUUGGAAGAGACACACACUGGACAUGAAAUUCUGGGAAAGCUGCACUUGCAGUAGUGGCUGGAGUGAGAAGCAGUGGAAGCUGUUCACUGUCUGCUGGUUCCCUAUCUUUGCCUUAGUACUCUGGAGCUCCAAGGUCACCUCAUGUCACCUUUGCUUUUCCAGUAGCUUUGCUGAAGGGUUUCUGAAUGUGGCCGUGGGCUUUGCUGCAGCUGGAAUUUAUUUCUGUUUCAGGAAGCAUCUCACUGUAGAGUCUGUGAUUUAAUAGUUCCUGUGCCAGGUUAAUUGUACUGGAAGAAGGCAAAUGAAGCCAAGAGGGUCAACUAGGAUGUCCCAGACCCCUGUCAAUCACACGUUACAAAAUACCAAACCCCCAGGUUACAAAAAUACACACACACACACACAAAAACACCACUACAAAAAAAAAAAAAAGCAUACAAAAAACUAGCUUCCAAAAUACCAGAAUAACCUAGUUGCAAAGUAAUAGAAAACCAAAUUCCAAAAUACCCAAGAAAACCAGGUUUCAAAAUCUCAGCUUUAAAAUACCAGAACACCAAGUUCCAUAAUACCAAAGUAACCCAGACUCAAAAUACCAGAAAACCAAGUUCCAAAGUACCAGAAUGACCCAAUUUCAAAAGAUCAAAUUGCAAAACACUAACUUUUAGAUGUCUUACACAGGCAGGAUUCCCAAACCCAAAAGAAUGAAAUACUGUCAAAAUGGGAUCUGUGAUACCAAAAUGGAUAUUUUCUCCUCUGAAAAGCUUUCCCACAAUGACCAUCAACACAGGUAUUUAUUUUAAUUAUAAGCCAGAUGCAAUAAGAAUUUUACUUCAAAAGCAAACUCUUGUAGUAGUUGUCUGCUUAGACUGUGUCCGCAAGGACCGGCAUUUGGGCCAGAGAGCUGCGGGUGGGAUCAAAGGGCAGAGUAAAUCUGCUCCCUGGAUGCACAGGGAACGACUGAGUAGCAGGCAGAGGGAGUACUUAUAAACGAUGUCAAUAUUUAUUUCACUGAAAUGCAGGAUGGACCAGCAAUGGGGGUGCUCAGGUUCAGUCUGGGCCUGUCAGGAUUAGCCAUAAACAACCCGGCUAAACCCCUGGCCCCUUAAGGGGUGUGUCAAACACUUCAACAGAAACACAAUUCAGUAAUGAUUACAGAGGAAAAAUUACCAGUAGUUGCUUAUGAUCUGUGGGGAAUUUCUUCAGUAAUUACAAACAUAGGACAUAGGGACGUUUGAGGCAGAACCCCAAUUUUGGCCACAGGCACCCAGACGAAAAGGCCGGUCCUUUUCCACAGAAAGGAAAGCCUGGAUCCCGGUGUUUCAGGGGUGGACAAUGGGCGAUGCAGGAGAGGGAACAACCAGCAGGACCUUUCCCCAGCUCACCUCCCACCCCAAGGUGCAGCAGCCCCAAGUGCAACCAAGUGAGGAUGAGGAGGGAGCAGAUCCUGCCAGAGGCUGCUUUCCGGUGGUUUCCUGGGCAUAGCUAUGCAGGGAGCUGCUAGUUGAGAGGGGCCAGUGGAGGCAUCCCAAGUGUCCCUCCAGGAACCAUGGCUGGAGCAUCCAGCAGGGGCUGGGGAGCAGCCAAAUGCACCUGGGCACAGACCGUCGCUUCAGUAAAAAGCCCAGGGAAAAGCCCUUUUGCCAAGGGGCAGCACCUGAGCAGGUGGGGCAGCAUGUAGGGUCCCGGGGAAAACCUUCAACUUUUCCCCUUUCAGCUUGUCAGUCCCUCCCCAGAGCCCCCAGAAAAGAAAGGGGUUACUAGGAAAAAAGGGGUUUAAAUUGAGGGGAAACACUUCCUUUUCCAUAAUUAUCACUGUUCAACUUGAGGGGGAAUCCAUGUCCCCAGCAAUUUUAAUAAUAUCAGUUGAAGGAAACCCCGCCUUUUCUAUACUGCUAGGGAUAUCAGUUGACAGGGAAUCCCUACUUUCCAGUUUAAAUGGAAGGGGAAAACCUUGAUAAUACUAUUUUAUAGGUUUGAAUUAAGGGUAACUCCCACACUUUCAUCAUCCUAAGGCUUAAACCGAGGGGGAAGCCCAAUUGCCCCUCCUUUUUAAGGAUUUGAAUUGAGGGGGAAAAUCCCUCUUUUUCCAGCAUUUGAGAGACUUAAAGUAAAGCAAACCCUUCGUUGGGGUUUUAGGAGCUCUCCUGUUGUUUUUUUUGUUUUGGUUUGGUUUUUUUUUGUUAAAGGAAUCUUCCCCAUUCGUGUUGCUAGGGGGACAAAUUGCCGGGCAUUUAAGACAAAGGACCGAGCCUCUGGGGGAGGGGUGCAUCUGGCUACUCUUUUGUUUCACCUGGGUGUGCAGACAGUCAGCUCCUGGAGUUUGGACGGAGAGGGAAGGUGUUCCGUCGGCUGCUUUUCCUUCUGCCAGAGAAACCCCGGGAUCCCAAGCCGGCCUUCGGAGCCGGGUCGCGGCCGCCCUGUCCCCGCCGUUGGUUCGAGCCUUCGCUGCUCUGUAGCCCUGCACGCCCUGCCUGCCCAGGCCUCCGGGGGGUUCCCAGCGCAGCUCUGCAGUCUGGAUACAUCUCGUCGGCCACCCGGGAUUUGUGUUCGUCCCUGCCGUUCCUGAGACUCCGGCCGGACAGCGGGAUCGGCUGCCUAGGGGUUCAGCCAUGUCUUGGAAUUGCAUCUUGGGAGCAUCCAGUCAGAGGUCUCUUGAAGCCUUGCUCCUGGCUGUAUUGCCAUCCAUCGUUUCCAGCUGAAGUAAAGCCAGUUAUCAGCAGUGAAGGUCAAGUGAGCGAGAAGGUGCCAUCCAGGUAGCCUUCAGCAAUGGCUGAGGAGUUGCGGCGAGUCAGGGAGGGAGGGAGGAGCAGCGAGGGUCUGCUCAAGUUUCAGCGAUGCCACAUCACCUCGUCUCCUCUUAACCCAGCCGACUGAGAACAGCCUGGCAGCAGCAUGAACUUCCCAGGUGGUGAGGUGGCAAUCUUCUUUUGUGCUGGAUGCAGAUUUACAUCCCCAGUUGUCUGAGAGAUAAGUCGAGGGUUAUGACCCACAGAGGGGAUGAAAGGGGAGUGCUGGGUCAGGCUUGCUGGGAGGGAUUUUUAAAUCAGCUUUGGAGACGGGGAUGUCCAAGAAGGGGCCCCUUAGGCCACAUAAAGGGACAGUCUUGCUUUUGGUCACAAUGCCGAGGUGUGCAGGGCAGAGCAGUCCCGAUGUGUGUGGUGUCUUUUGUGUGUUCUGUGUCUUUUUUCUUACCCCUUCGAGGGGCUUAUAAGGAAGUGCUGGGCAUCACCCUUAGCAUCUCUGAUCUCUGCAUUCCUCGGCCCGGUACUGACACUGUCCAGCCUUUGACUAGUGAGUUUGGACAUGUAUCAGAAUUGCACCUCUCUUUAGAGGUGUUGAGUUGGAUGUCUUUCAUGGUCUUGUUCUGAGCUGUAUCAACCGCUGUGCACCACGAUAAUCCUUUAUAUCGACUUAGGGCUUGUAAGAUGCGAAGAUAGGUAGAGGAUUCUGACUGUAUGAUUCUCGGGCAUCCAUCCUUGCAGUUUUGCCAGGCAGUUCUUGGAAUAAGUUGUUCUGUUAGCAUCUUUUUCCUAGGGUUCUUUGAGCCUCGUUGGCUCACUGUCAUCUCAUUCUGCAUUCUCUUGCUCCUUGCGGUUGUUCUUGUCGAGAGUUUUCUCUCCUCCUUGCAUCCCCUUGUUUGUCAUCUCCUGUGUAAUGGGUGUAUUUGGCCUGGGGCUGCUCUGCCCUGCCGCAUAGUCUGGUGUGUAGGUGUAAUAGAACUAAGACUAUACUGUUAAUUUGUCCAGCCCACAGUUUUGCAGUUACCCACACCUCCUGGUCAACAGCCUUAUGCUUGUGAUCGGUGGGAGAGUUGUGUGCUGGGGACUUGGAAUUUGUAAUGUAGGGUAUAGUUGGACUCAAGAUGGUAUUUCUAGAUUGGCACAAGAUGUUUGGAGCUGUAAAGUUAUCAUACAGCACUUUGACUUUUGUCAUAACUUUCUUUCAGAUGCAGAUGGAUUGAAUCUGUGGCAGAGCGCCCCGUACCGGGUGAGGUGGUUCCCACAGGAAGGUCAGUCACUAUUUGUCUUUGCAGGGUGAUCCACUCACAAGAUAGCCUGACCCAGAUGCUGGAGGCCAGGAGGGUGCAAGCUUAAGGUGCUGCCGCUGCCCUAGGUGUGCCAAGCAACAGAGGUGAGCAGGUACUGUGAGCAGGUGUGGAGCUGAAGUUUGGAAACAGCAGCUGCCAAAGUGGACUGCAAAGAACGUAUUGAUGUCCAUGGCGCUGAUGCGCUCUUUUCUGUUCAGGAUGGGUUUUUUCACUUGUCUUCAGCGAGCUAAGUGUUGGGAACAGUGGUUGGGAUAAGGGAAAAACCUUGGGAAUCACAGGAGGCAAUUUCAAGUUAGCUGAGAGGAGAGGGGUAUAGUGAGAUGGGCCCAUUGGAACUAAAGGGAGAGGGUUUCUCCUCAGCAUCACCUGUGUGUUUGCUGGUCAGCAGUUCCAACCCAUCUCUGUGUUCUUGUAAGUUUUGCAUUGUUGGCCUUCUUAGUCUCCAUGUCGUUGUGGAUCUUUUUGCCUUCGGAGCUUGCCUUCGGGUCUGGCACGAUUGUCAUGCUCUCAGUUUUACCUGCUCAUCGGCAUAGCCACCCUGGAGCGCUUCCGAGCAUAGCAUGUGUGCAUCUCAGCCAUUUGUCGGUCACAUUUUGCGGUGUCACUUUGGCCUUUGCCAGCAGAGCUGUUCUCUAUGGAUCUCUUUAUCACCUGGCAGUCAUGGCCUUGUUCUCUAGGCCUACCGACCCUCUCAAGCAUCCUCUUAACAGCUUUGGCACUUACUUCUCAUAAGGAGUUAUCUUUCACUGUCAAGUGCUGCUGCCAUAGAGCCUUCUUUCCUUUGGCAUCAUCAGCCUCUGGCUCAUGUUGUACUAGGAAUCUUGGAUCUGUCACUUGAACCUGCUGGGCAGUUUCAGCUUGUCUGUGUUAGGUAGUUUGUGUUGAUGUGUCCAUUGUCUUGUGUCACAGGGCUUUCUUAUGUCUCAAUGCUUUAUCAGCAUCGUUCUGAGCCAUAUUGGCAGUGGGGAGCUCUGUGAGAAGAGUGCGGGUGUGGAAUGGUUCUGACCUUGUGUGUGGGAGUUUUGCCUUUCAGGCUUUUCAGCUACUUUUUAAACUUAGAGUAAAAACAACCCAGCUGCGCUGGCUGGGGAUUUUUUCCCUCCCGGCUGGGUUUUUUUAUCUGGGACCCGGCCGGUCUGUGAGGUGCCGUUCAUCGCCAGGGUUUGGGUGCCGACCGUGCCGGGGAUUUGUCAGGCGGGAUGAUUUUGGGGCUCCCGGGAACCGCGUUCCCAUGGGGUGCUCUCGAGACGAGAGCGAGGGUGGGUUUGUGUGUCAGCUGAAGGAGGCGUGUGGUGGAUGAGUGUUUUCUUCUCCGUGUGCUGCUGUUGUUUUGGGUUUCCUGGAACAAUGAAAUGUCCUAAAUUUUCCAGAAAUAGAACAAUUGUUACAUUGUACUGAUAGGGGGUUGGCUUGUGUUGCUCUGUGUUCGUGUUUGCUGCUGCACUUGCACAUAUUGCUCUGUAUGUCAAUUGGACUUUGACCAGUGUGCAUAUGGAUUGUACUUGUGCUUGUGUACAUUGUUGUUUCCACUUGCUUUGCUGAAGUGUAAAUAAAAAACCCUCGUUCAAUCAAGCUGAAUAAACCCUAAUAAAGAUACCCCCCC